This 490-nucleotide ribosomal RNA is filed under the name uncultured bacterium. RNAcentral describes it as "bacterial SSU rRNA". It matches the Rfam family "Bacterial small subunit ribosomal RNA", at positions 32 to 496 of the family's 1533-position model. The record is from RNAcentral.
AAUCAACGCUGGCGGCGUGCCUAACACAUGCAAGUCGAACGCGAAAGCCCUUUCGGGGGUAAGUAGAGUGGCGUCCGGGUGAGUAACACGUAGGUAAUCUACCUUCGGGUGGGGAAUAACUCGCCGAAAGGCGAGCUAAUACCGCAUAAUGCAGCGGCACCUAAUGGUGAUUAGUUGUUAAAGCGGGGGACCCGCAAGGGCCUCGCGCCUGAAGAGGAGCCUGCGGCAGAUUAGCAGUUGGUGAGGUAAUGGCUCACCAAGGCUACGAUCUGUAGCUGGUCUGAGAGGACGGCCAGCCACACUGGCACUGACACACGGGCCAGACUCCUACGGGAGGCAGCAGUGGGGAAUUUUGGGCAAUGGGCGAAAGCCUGACCCAGCAACGCCGCGUGAGGGAGGAAAUCCUUCGGGAUGUAAACCUCAUAAGUAAGGGAAGAGCGCAGGAGGGCGAAUACUCCUCCUGCUCGACGGUACCUUACGUAAGCCACGG